GAAAGCGGGGCUAAUACCGGAUAANNUCUUUUGGGCUCCGGCCUUUUGGAUCAAAGGUGGCCUCUACAUGUAAGCUAUCGGUUGGAGAUGAGCCCGCGUACCAUUAGCUUGUUGGUAGGGUAACGGCCUACCAAGGCCGCGAUGGUUAGCUGGUCUGAGAGGAUGAUCAGCCACACUGGAACUGACACACGGUCCAGACUCCUACGGGAGGCAGCAGUGAGGAAUUUUGCGCAAUGGGGGAAACCCUGACGCAGCAACGCCGCGUGAGUGAUGAAGGCCUUCGGGUCGUAAAGCUCUGUCAAGUGGGAAGAACCUGAUGUAUGCUAAUAUCAUAGAUCACUGACGGUACCACUGAAGGAAGCACCGGCUAACUCCGUGCCAGCAGCCGCGGUAAUACGGAGGGUGCAAGCGUUAUUCGGAAUCACUGGGCGUAAAGGGCGCGCAGGCGGUUUGGUAAGUCAGAUGUGAAAGCCCGGGGCUCAACCCCGGAAGUGCAUUUGAUACUGCCAAACUUGAGUAUGGGAGAGGGGAAGUGGAAUUCCUGGUGUAGAGGUGAAAUUCGUAGAUAUCAGGAGGAACACCGGUGGCGAA
This 591-nucleotide ribosomal RNA is filed under the name uncultured bacterium. RNAcentral's name for it is "bacterial SSU rRNA". It matches the Rfam family "Bacterial small subunit ribosomal RNA", at positions 153 to 719 of the family's 1533-position model. The record is from RNAcentral.